Diceros bicornis minor is the source of this 265-nucleotide long non-coding RNA. RefSeq lists it as uncharacterized. The transcript is spliced from 3 exons. The record is from RefSeq and is a predicted model, not a curated record. NCBI's taxonomy places the organism in Eukaryota, Metazoa, Chordata, Mammalia, Perissodactyla, Rhinocerotidae.
CUGUGAGACCCUCCUGGACACCAGCCAGACUUUUGUGAGAUGGGGCAUGGCACCCUGCCUCCCCCCAACAUCAAGUGAUAUUGACCUUUCCCUGAAGAGGCAGGAAUGAGAAAAUAAGACGAGAAGACCCUAUGGAGCUUCAAUUAAUUAAAAAAAAAACCAAAGCAUUCCUUACACUAAUUGAAUGAAAAGUAUUAGUUUAUAUAUGACUCUGUAAAGGACCACAUCAUUGGCCCCAUGAUCUGUGGAGACACCAGUAUUUACA